AACUAAGAAGCUGAGGGAUGAAUGCAUUGUGGAGCACGGUGAAUCCGCGUGUGAGAAAUGGAUUGAAGCUCAUCGUAAAUGUCUUCGAGCUGAAGGCUUCAAGGUUUGAUAUUUAGUGAUAGAAGCAGAUUUCUAACUAAAAAAGACAAACGAAGAUACAAUUUUUUUGUAUAAUGCCCAGUUUGUUUUUGAGACCAUACAAGCUCUCAAUUGCCUAAUGUUUACAGAUAAUUUAUACAGAGGAAUUUUGUUCAUCCAAAGUUCAGG
This 267-nucleotide unclassified non-coding RNA is filed under the name Hevea brasiliensis (rubber tree). Lineage: Eukaryota; Viridiplantae; Streptophyta; Magnoliopsida; Malpighiales; Euphorbiaceae. The record is from RNAcentral.